RNAcentral lists this ribosomal RNA (497 nucleotides) under uncultured bacterium. Its description in RNAcentral is "partial 16S ribosomal RNA". It matches the Rfam family "Bacterial small subunit ribosomal RNA", at positions 28 to 507 of the family's 1533-position model. The record is from RNAcentral.
GAUGAACGCUGGCGGCGUGCCUAAUACAUGCAAGUCGAGCGAACGGACGAUAAGCUUGCGUCUCUGAUGUUAGCGGCGGACGGGUGAGUAACACGUGGAUAACCUACCUAUAAGACUGGGAUAACUUCGGGAAACCGUAGCUAAUACCGGAUAAUAUUUUGAACCGCAUGGUUCAAAAGUGAAAGACGGUCUUGCUGUCACUUAUAGAUGGAUCCGCGCUGCAUUAGCUAGUUGGUAAGGUAACGGCUUACCAAGGCAACGAUGCAUAGCCGACCUGAGAGGGUGAUCGGCCACACUGGAACUGAGACACGGUCCAGACUCCUACGGGAGGCAGCAGUAGGGAAUCUUCCGCAAUGGGCGAAAGCCUGACGGAGCAACGCCGCGUGAGUGAUGAAGGUCUUCGGAUCGUAAAACUCUGUUAUUAGGGAAGAACAUCUGUGUAAGUAACUGUGGACAUCUUGACGGUACCUAAUCAGAAAGCCACGGCUAACUACGUG